GCGGGAAUAGCUCAGUUGGUAGAGCACGACCUUGCCAAGGUCGGGGUCGCGAGUUCGAGUCUCGUUUCCCNCA
RNAcentral lists this transfer RNA (73 nucleotides) under Pseudomonas viridiflava. RNAcentral describes it as "tRNA-Gly". It matches the Rfam family "tRNA". From Rfam's summary of the family: Transfer RNA (tRNA) molecules are approximately 80 nucleotides in length. The record is from RNAcentral. Lineage: Bacteria; Pseudomonadati; Pseudomonadota; Gammaproteobacteria; Pseudomonadales; Pseudomonadaceae.